GACGAACGCUGGCGGCGUGCUUAACACAUGCAAGUCGAACGGAAAGGCCCUGCCUUUGUGGGGUGCUCGAGUGGCGAACGGGGGAGUAACACGUGAGUAACCUGCCCUUGACUGUGGGGUAUCUUCAGGAAACUGGGGCUAAUACCGGCAAGGAGCUACUGCUGCAGGGUGGGGGUUGGAAAGUUUCGGCGGUUGGGGAUGGACUCGCGGCUUAUCAGCUUGUUGGUGGGGUAGUGGCUUACCAAGGCUUUGACGGGUAGCCGGCCUGGGAGGGUGACCGGCCACAUUGGGACUGAGAUACGGCCCAGACUCCUACGGGAGGCAGCAGUGGAGAAUAUUGCACAAUGGGCGGAAGCCUGAUGCAGCAACGCCGCGUGCGGGAUGACGGCCUUCGGGUUGUAAACCGCUUUCGCCUGUGACGAAGCGUGAGUGACGGUAAUGGGUAAAGAAGCACCGGCUAACUACGUG
Molecule: ribosomal RNA, 468 nt
Filed under: uncultured bacterium
Lineage: Bacteria
Description: partial 16S ribosomal RNA
Rfam family: Bacterial small subunit ribosomal RNA
Source: RNAcentral